RNA transcript from Panicum virgatum (switchgrass), 1164 nucleotides. It is a transcript of the gene named endo-1,3;1,4-beta-D-glucanase-like, with no coding region annotated. The record is from RefSeq and is a predicted model, not a curated record. The transcript is spliced from 8 exons. Lineage: Eukaryota; Viridiplantae; Streptophyta; Magnoliopsida; Poales; Poaceae.
CCCGGGACAGUCGGACAGCAUCCACAGACAAGAGCAGAAGAGGAAACACUAAAGAAAGAAACUGAGCAUGGCCAGCUCGCACUGCUUUGAGAACCCGCCGGCGCUGAGCCCGGCCGGCGGAGCCGGCGAGGUCGUCGAUGAUUUCGGCGGGAUGAAGGCCUACGUCGCCGGCUUUGCGGGGUCCAAGGCCGCCGUCGUCCUCGUCUCCGACGCCUUCGGGUUCGAAGCGCCAAACCUGAGGAAGAUAGCCGACAAAGUUGCUUCGUCUGGUUACUUUGUUGUGGUUCCAGAUUUCUUGCAUGGGGAUCCAUAUGACCCCAGCAACCCCAACAAUCCUGGAAUGUGGUUGCAAUCACAUAAUCCGGAGGGAACAACUAGUAGCAUUUUUUUUUUGUUCCGAAGCAGUGUUUCUGGCAUGGCUUGAACACCUCUCUGCAGAGAUGUGCUUGGUUUUAUAGUUUAUAUCAAAAAGCAUUUGAAGAGGCAAAACCAGUAAUUGCUGCUAUAAAGGAGAAGGGAGUGUCGAACAUAGGGGCUGCUGGCUAUUGUUGGGGUGCAAAGGUGGUUGUGGAGCUGGCAAAAGUUCAUGAGAUCCAGGCUGCUGUAUUGUUACAUCCUUCUUUACUAACUGUUGAUGACAUCAAAGAGGUUAAAUGUCCCAUUUCUAUACUUGGAGCUGAAAUCGACAAAACAUCCCCGCCUGAAUUGUUAAAGCAGUUUGAGCAGGUUCUUUCAACUAACUCUGGGGUCGAUCACAUUGUCAAGAUUUUUCCCAAAGUAGCGCAUGGGUGGGCUGUGAGAUACAACGAUGAAGAUGCAGCAGCUGUCACGAGUGCUGAGGAAGCUCUGCAGGAUAUGAGCCACUGGUUUAACAAGUACCUAAACUGAAAUUUGAAGUUGCAGCUCUCCAUCUAAUAAGCUCCUGACAGUGAUCAUUUGCAGCCAUACCGUGUUUGUGUUUUAUAUGGUUCGACUUGCGUCUUCUGUUGAGUAGGUGGCACUGUUUCUAUACUUGAGGAGCUUAAUUAGAAGUCCCACCUUUUUGUCGUACAUUUUUUUAUGCCAUUGAAUUAAGAACUGCUCUUCAGUUGAGUUUGUGUUAUCGUGUCAAUACUUCAGCUUGUGCUUUUGUUUAUGCAUGAUAUGUAUAUGCCAGUUUACCUA